CCUACGGGUGGCUGCAGUGGGGAAUAUUGCACAAUGGGCGCAAGCCUGAUGCAGCCAUGCCGCGUGUGUGAAGAAGACCUUCGGGUUGUAAAGCACUUUCAGCGGGGAGGAAGGCGUUAAGGUUAAUAACCUUGGCGAUUGACGUUACCCGCAGAAGAAGCACCGGCUAACUCCGUGCCAGCAGCCGCGGUAAUACGGAGGGUGCAAGCGUUAAUCGGAAUUACUGGGCGUAAAGCGCACGCAGGCGGUCUGUCAAGUCGGAUGUGAAAUCCCCGGGCUCAACCUGGGAACUGCAUUCGAAACUGGCAGGCUAGAGUCUUGUAGAGGGGGGUAGAAUUCCAGGUGUAGCGGUGAAAUGCGUAGAGAUCUGGAGGAAUACCGGUGGCGAAGGCGGCCCCCUGGACAAAGACUGACGCUCAGGUGCGAAAGCGUGGGGAGCAAACAGGAUUAGAUACCCUUGUAGUC
RNAcentral lists this ribosomal RNA (465 nucleotides) under uncultured Klebsiella sp. Its description in RNAcentral is "bacterial SSU rRNA". It matches the Rfam family "Bacterial small subunit ribosomal RNA", at positions 338 to 795 of the family's 1533-position model. Lineage: Bacteria; Pseudomonadati; Pseudomonadota; Gammaproteobacteria; Enterobacterales; Enterobacteriaceae. The record is from RNAcentral.